AUUGAACGCUGGCGGCAUGCUUUACACAUGCAAGUCGAACGGUAACAGGCCGCAAGGUGCUGACGAGUGGCGAACGGGUGAGUAAUGCAUCGGAACGUGCCCAGUCGUGGGGGAUAACUACUCGAAAGAGUAGCUAAUACCGCAUACGAUCUAUGGAUGAAAGCGGGGGACCGUAAGGCCUCGCGCGAUUGGAGCGGCCGAUGUCAGAUUAGGUAGUUGGUGGGGUAAAGGCUCACCAAGCCAACGAUCUGUAGCUGGUCUGAGAGGACGACCAGCCACACUGGGACUGAGACACGGCCCAGACUCCUACGGGAGGCAGCAGUGGGGAAUUUUGGACAAUGGGCGCAAGCCUGAUCCAGCAAUGCCGCGUGCAGGAAGAAGGCCUUCGGGUUGUAAACUGCUUUUGUACGGAACGAAACGGCUCUGGUUAAUACCCGGGGAUAAUGACGGUACCGGAAGAAUAAGCACCGGCUAACUACGUG
RNAcentral lists this ribosomal RNA (482 nucleotides) under uncultured bacterium. RNAcentral describes it as "partial 16S ribosomal RNA". It matches the Rfam family "Bacterial small subunit ribosomal RNA", at positions 30 to 507 of the family's 1533-position model. The record is from RNAcentral.